This 277-nucleotide ribosomal RNA is filed under the name uncultured Thalassospira sp. Its description in RNAcentral is "partial 16S ribosomal RNA". It matches the Rfam family "Bacterial small subunit ribosomal RNA", at positions 1105 to 1382 of the family's 1533-position model. Lineage: Bacteria; Pseudomonadati; Pseudomonadota; Alphaproteobacteria; Rhodospirillales; Thalassospiraceae. The record is from RNAcentral.
ACGCCCUAUGUUACCAGCGGAUAAUGCCGGGGACGCUUAGGGGACUGCCCGCGUCAAGCGGGAGGAAGGUGUGGAUGACGUCAAGUCAUCAUGGUUCUUACGGGUCGGGCUACAAACGUACUACAAUGGCGUUAACAAUGGGUCGCAAUACUGCAAAGUAAAGCUAAUCCUUAAAAAACGCCUCAGUUCAGAUUGUCCUCUGCAACUCGAGGGCAUGAAGCUGGAAUCGCUAGUAAUCGCUGAUCAGAAUGCAGCGGUGAAUACGUUCCCGGGUCUU